Molecule: ribosomal RNA, 253 nt
Filed under: uncultured bacterium
Lineage: Bacteria
Description: partial 16S ribosomal RNA
Rfam family: Bacterial small subunit ribosomal RNA
Source: RNAcentral
UACGUAGGGGGCAAGCGUUGUCCGGAAUCAUUGGGCGUAAAGGGUGCGUAGGCGGCGCGGUAAGUCGGGUGUGAAAUCUCGGAGCUUAACUCCGAAACUGCAUUCGAUACUGCCGUGCUUGAGGACUGGAGAGGAGACUGGAAUUUACGGUGUAGCGGUGAAAUGCGUAGAUAUCGGGAGGAACACCUGUGGCGAAAGCGGCUCACUGGACCACAACUGACGCUGAGGCGCGAAAGCUAGGGGAGCAAACAGG